GGAAAGACCGGGUGGGGAAAGUUAAGGAGGGGCCCGGGCUCAGCAACCCGCGCCCAGACUGCCUUCUGGCAUUCUGCGUCGUUGGAGAAGGGCCCUCUUAUCUCGCCGUGGAACUCCUGGCAGGGCGGGGGGCGGAGUCCCGGCCUCGUCCUCCCUGCUAGCGACUCCUCCAAGGAGGGAGUACUUGCUGCAUGUGAUCCUCUACAACUCGUGUUGCUCCCGUUAUGCAGACGGAAGACAGUCCCAGGGAACAAACGCUAGGAAAUGGCAGGGUGUGGAAACUGAGGCAUGGAGAGGUUACAAUAUACCCUAGAUCUCCCAACUGGCAAGUAAUGGUUGAAGUCAGGAGCCUACACACUUCCUCCUACUUCCUCCGUGGGUGCUGGUGAUCUGCCGACUCCUAGACAUCCAGCUUUAAGGUCCUCAGUGAAGCUUCUCUGCCCCCAGGCCUGUCAAUGUGAGAGCACCAUGGGUGUCCCUUUGAAAGCAUCUCCUACAGAGGUCAGUGAUUAUGCGGUCUAUGUGUAAACCAAAGGGUCCCAAGGGUUUUGGCCUUCCAACUAGUUUUGUGCGUGCGUGACUAUGACAGCACUGCGCACCUCACCUGCAUGCUGGGAAUAGUGAUGUGCCCCUGUUCUGCCCCAAGUGCCUGCCUCAGGCAUUGUGGGUCCCUCUGGCCAACUUAGUACUUAAUUCUCCUGCCCUGGCUGCUCCCUAGAAGCCCUGGCUCUGAUUGCUGGGCCCACACUGCCACCUAGCGGUGCCACCUCUCAUGCCCUCACUAGCCAAAUCUCCAUGGAUUCCUCCCUUCUAGGAUACCUUCCCCUGCACUCCAGGGAUUGACCUUACUGCAAGAUUCCCCUGCCCCUCCCUACCCAGAACAAUCACAAGAUGAGUCACAAGAAUACACAGCAGUGCCUUCCCCAAAGUCUCCCUCAUUUGUCCUCUAUCCUUUCAUCAUGUGCAGCCUCCCCUCUCCAGGAAGGACAUAAUGUGUGUGUGUGUGUGUGUGUGUGUGUGUGUGUGUGUGUAGGAUUUAGCCACCUUCACUUUAAGCUAUUCCAAAGUCUCUGUCCCCUUGGACACACAGCUAUAUGAAGGGCUAUGUGGCAGAGCCUGCCACCAUGAACCCACUCCUGACCAGGCCUAGCCAUCCCACAUGCCAAAUCCUCCCAUCAUAGUGGAGGGGAUGUGGCAGGUGGUUGCUGGAACAUGAGCACUAAGGGAAAACCACAUAUUCUGACUUUCCUGGGCUAAGUGAGUAGUUGCAAGUCAUCUCUCUGAUGGACCCAUGUGGGGAAUGCGUGUGCCUAUGGAAGCGUGGACACUGGUUAUAGGGACUGGGAGGGGAGAAGCAGCACCUUUGCUUACUUUUCAUACUUCUGUAUAAUUUGAAUUAAUGACAAUGAGCAAGUUUUACUUAUGCAAUUUAAAAUUUUAAUAAAAAGAGACAAGCUUAAAAAUACAAUUAUAAAAUUUUUAGAGCAAUUAUACUCUAACUCCAUUUUAAAGAAACGAGACAUCUUCACAUAACAUUCAGUGAGAUGCCUUUGGCUGAGGCAAGGAGCCAGCCUCCACCCUCAGCUGCCUAGCCUUCUACUCAUCCAGAAUGACAUCUUGCUCAGCCUUAGGUUCACCAGGCUCAAACUAGUUGCCUUUACAGAGCAGAGCCUUCUUCGGUGCCCCCAGCAGUAGAAGCUUCCAGAUCAUAGGGCUUUCUAAGAGGCUCUGAGAUCUUGAAUCAGAUUCUUAGGUUGGGCUCAGGGACAUCAGUCCUGGGUCCAGCUGGGCAUAAAUUCGUGUGUGUGUACACAUGUGCAUGUGUAUCUGUGUGCAUGUGUGUUAUAUGAAUGUGUAUUUACACAUGUAUAUUAUAUGCAUGUGUAUGCACAUGUGUAAAGGUGUGACUGCAUAUGUACAUGUGUGAGAGUAUGUUUGUACAUGUGGCUGUGCGAGGAGCCAGAAAGGACUAGGAGAGGAGGCCAUGGUUUGAGGAUAAGAGCCUAGCCCUGAGGUUGUGCUUUGGAGUUGGAAUGGGGGCUCUGUCAUGACAGCUGCUGACCUCAGACAGGUCACCUAACCUCUCUGGGCUUUUCUGUCCUGUGUGUCUGUAGUGUGGGGCGGGAGGGAUAGUGUGACCUCCUCCAGUCUCUGUAAGGUCAGGGGGUUCCAGGGAGAGCACCUACCCAGCAUCUGGUCUACAAGAAGUGUUCACUAUGGCCAGCUGAGGCUAUUGUCUGGAGCCUCCUGCUUCACUGAAUACUGCUAGCCUGAAGGUCGCCUGAAAGAAAUAGGGGCAGAGCCCCCAAACCCGUCUCCACUCAACAUCUGCACACAGUGGGUACCCACGAAUAAGUUGUAGCAUCCUUUCAGUCACUCAUUCACUCAUUCAUUCACAGGACGAGCAUCUUUCCAAGAGCUACUUCUCUGAUGAGGCUGGACAUGCAGCCCAGGGGUCCGUGAGUGUGUGUGUGUUAACCAGUGGGGCUGAGGGGUAGACGCUCACUAGGCCUAAAUUCCGACGCCAGGAGUAGGAUGGCUGGGAGAUGCCUCUGAGUGGGACGGAGGUCCUGGUACCUGCAGUCCUGUAGAUGGCCUGUAGAUGACAGCAGAGGCCCACGCAGAGCCCCUGCCCCGAGCCGCAACCUUCCCAGUCCCAAGUGAACCAGCUCGCUCAGGUCCCUCAGCUUCCGGAUUGGGGGAGUGAUGUGCUGUGCGCGAGUAGCUCAGAUCUGUCCCAGGAGACAGCCACAGCCACCCUCCCUAUGGCUCUAGACAAGUUGUUUUCUCCCCAGGGGCCCCAGUUUCCUCAUCUGUGAAAUGAGAGCUGUUUAACAGCCGGUAUUGGGAAAACUGGCUCAAAAUACGUAAUGUGGUCUAAGAUGGGCUUAACAGAGACUUAAAUGUGCAAGGCAAAACUAGAAAGCUAAUGGAGAAUAUCUGUCACUCGGAUGCGGGGCAGAGACUUUUUAAACACGACGCCAAAAGCCCAAACCAUAAGGUGAAAGGUUGGCGGAUCUGACUAAAUGGCAACUCGGAUUUCUGGUCCCCAGGACGCUGUAUAUACCAAAGGGAAGCAACGAGUCAAGCGGGAGCUGCACAAAAGGGGGCAGUCGCCAGUGCUGGAGACGCCCAGAGCCACCAGAGGCUAAAGAGUGGCGAAUUCAACAACGACGAGAUGCCACUUCCCUCA
Non-coding RNA from Chlorocebus sabaeus (green monkey), 3193 nucleotides. NCBI's taxonomy places the organism in Eukaryota, Metazoa, Chordata, Mammalia, Primates, Cercopithecidae. The record is from RefSeq and is a predicted model, not a curated record.